CCUACGUGGGGCUGCAGUGGGGAAUAUUGGACAAUGGGCGAAAGCCUGAUCCAGCCAUGCCGCGUGUGUGAAGAAGGCCUUCGGGUUGUAAAGCACUUUCAGUGGGGAAGAAAGCCUUGGGGCUAAUACCCUCGAGGAAGGACAUCACCCACAGAAGAAGCACCGGCUAACUCCGGGCCAGCAGCCGCGGUAAUACGGAGGGUGCGAGCGUUAAUCGGAAUUACUGGGCGUAAAGCGCGCGUAGGCGGUCUGAUAAGCCGGUUGUGAAAGCCCCGGGCUCAACCUGGGAACGGCAUCCGGAACUGUCAGGCUAGAGUGCAGGAGAGGAAGGUAGAAUUCCCGGUGUAGCGGUGAAAUGCGUAGAGAUCGGGAGGAAUACCAGUGGCGAAGGCGGCCUUCUGGACUGACACUGACGCUGAGGUGCGAAAGCGUGGGUAGCAAACAGGAUUAGAUACCCGGGUAGUC
RNAcentral lists this ribosomal RNA (465 nucleotides) under Vreelandella stevensii. RNAcentral's name for it is "partial 16S ribosomal RNA". It matches the Rfam family "Bacterial small subunit ribosomal RNA", at positions 338 to 795 of the family's 1533-position model. Lineage: Bacteria; Pseudomonadati; Pseudomonadota; Gammaproteobacteria; Oceanospirillales; Halomonadaceae. The record is from RNAcentral.